AUGAUGAAUUAUAGAAAAGAAGAAAAGGAAAAGAGGCAAGGGAAGGGAACCAUGGUUAUUGAGAUCCUAGCUUCUAUGGAAAUUCGUUCAGAAGAUAAUAUAUUACUGCUCUUAUUUUACAGAUUGAAACACGUCUGUGCCACGAAGUUUGCUGACAAACACUGGAGGCAGUUUAUUACCGGAACAUUUCUUCCAAAGGCAGCUGUUCAAAGGACACUCUUCCCCUCGCCUGCCACCCCCUCCCCACUUACUCCCCAACUCUGCAAAAAUAAAAUCAUACAGAAAUCACAUCGUUUCCAAUUAUUUCAGAUUCGGUAACAGGCACGGCCAUCUUUAUUUUGUAGGAAUCAGUAAAGAGAAUAAAAGCAAGGCAUAGAAUAAAUCAAGCCCUACUUGAUCAUCAUUAUCUCAAAAUUUAGUGCCAAGUCCUGUUGGAGUUCUCCAGAAGCACGUUUGAUUAGCAGCAGCUUCCUUAGUAAGAGGAGGCAGUGUUCAUGGCCAGGAAGCCACCUUACUAAUGAGAGCAUCAGAUUCCCUGAACGGUUUAUCCAGAUAAAUCCAUUUCUCAUCUUAUUAUAAGUAAAGUGCAUCUUACCCAUGAGCACACAUAAGGUCAGUAAGCAAGCUGAUAGCAGCUUCUCUCAUAUGUGAAUGAUAAUUUUGUCCUUUUUAACCCUUGAAUUAUCAUCCGACACAACACCCGGCACUCACUGGCUUGCUGUGCCUGAACAUAAAACACUCAAGCAGUCUAUUUUGUUUUGGAGAGAGAAGCAGGAAUAUUAUUCAUAUUGAUUGGAUCCUUUCUGUUGGUCUUGGCCGUCUAAUUAAACCAAAUUUGUAUUUUAGUGCCUUGGUAACAUGAGGUUCAAAUAGAUAGGGGUAUUAUAUUCUUAUGGAAAGCAAAGCCGGGUUGGUAUACAAGAAUGAGGGCUGUGCAAGGCAGGAGUUCUACAGGAGUGCUGUUAUUACACAAUUUCCUCUGAAAUUUUAUCAUCUAUUUGAUAUUAUUGCACAAAUUCUGAGGUCAGACUUCAAAGUAAAACUCUGGAUGGGAUCAAUUGGAGUAGUAGGAUUUCAAUUUCCAAUUAUAAAUUAAAAUAUAGGUAUAAUGGAAAAAUUUGUCAUUUAUAAUAGGAGCAAAAAUGCAUUUAAUUGUACCUCAUAGUGAUUUUAUUCAUGAAUAUGGUCACUUCAACUUAAUUUCACCCUUUGCCCAAGUAGAAUUUCACUUUGGUUUAUUUGUUUAACACAAAAGAGAACUUCUGGCUUAUUAUGAUUCAGAUGAUUGACAUGUCUGUAUUUGGAUCCAGAAAAUGUUAUUUAAAAUCUCAUAAGAACGUAAACAUCUCAUGAAACUUUAUUCCCAUAACAAUAAAAGAACUUUCUGUUAAAUUAUUUGUUUUAAUUAGAAUUUUAAAAAGGCAUAGUU
RNAcentral lists this long non-coding RNA (1429 nucleotides) under Sus scrofa (pig). Its description in RNAcentral is "lncRNA (ENSSSCG00060049222.1)". Lineage: Eukaryota; Metazoa; Chordata; Mammalia; Artiodactyla; Suidae. The record is from RNAcentral.